AUUUCCUGGCUGAGAAGGUCCCGAGAUACCAGGCUGACUGGAAGCUCCCACACAGCCCAUUUCUGGGACCUGAGGGCGCAAGGCUCCACAGAGGAAUACCGGCGGGGAAUGCAGUGGAGACCCCCAGGAAGGUGUCUCCAAGCAGAAGGGAGAGAGAGGCCGUGUCUCAAAACUCCAGAGGCUUCUGAAGUCCUUCUGGAGAGUUAAGAAAAUCGGAGCUCAUGUGAAAGCAUUCUUGUCAUACAACUGCCUUCCAAUGGCAUGACCACGGAAGGAGAACAGCUCCUCACCAAAGCAGCCAUGAUGGAUUCUGACAUUUUCGACAUUGGUGUGCCCAGUGGAAGUUUCCUACAAGGGGUGACAGCUCUGGACAGGGCAUCAGGUGCCUGUGUGCUCACUGCAAGUCUGCCCCUGGUCGGCUAUAUGAUCUUGGUCAAGCUGCUCUGUCUCUCUGGGUCCAGCUAGACAAGAUGCUCACUGAGUCCCCUCCUGACUCAUUUGUGAUUUUAUAAGGGUUGCCUGGUACAUGCUUUCUGAAGGGGAGAGCAAGGGGAGGAGGAACCAAUGCAGAGACUCACCACGGACCUGAGUCUUGGCAGGGAGGAGAGAGCAGAGGGAGCCUGGGGCUGAGGAAGACUGGGGGCAGGGGUGCUAGAGAUGCCUCUCUUCUUUCACAAACCUCCUGUGCUGGCCUGCUCCCGGAGUGCUGUCCAGAAAGCCUCUUCAAGAAACCCAUUACAAGUGACCACAAAGAAUGCCCGUUCCAAGACAUGCAUUCUGAGGGAGGUGUGCACCAAAGCUUUAGUGGGCAGGAAGCUACCCCACCACCCAGCUCCAGCACUGCUGGGAGCUGAUUCCAGCCCAGCCACUCCUCAUGGCUUUUAUAUGGCCCUGCUGGGCCCUGGCGAUCUGGUUUGAAAAUCAUGGUUCUAUCUCAAUCCAAUCAAUGGAAAACUGAAUUUCAAGUGUUAUCUCCCCUCAAACAAAAAACAAAACAAAAAAACAACAAAAAAAACAGGGUGAAAAAGAGCACACAGUGGCUCUCAACACAGCUUUCACCUUCCUCCCUGGAUUCUGCCAUUCCUGGAUGUGCUUACACAGAGCUGGCUGCUCGGAUUUCCCCUAGUGAAUGCAACCAGUUACCGGACUGCGACAGGUGCAUGGACCCCAGCACCUUCUCUCAAACACCCACGCUUGGAGGAAAACGUGGCAGCUCUCUCCCCAGCUGGGGCUUGGCCUGGGGUGCCCACCCUCUUUCUCAUUAAGCAGCCCUUCAUCUGAGAGGUAAGAAACUCAAGUUCAUCCAGCGUGUGAACCUGCAAUGUGGGGUGUGCUAAGAUCCAGGCGGGCUAAUGAUCACUAACAAUGCUCCCUAUCCAACCCAGCAAGGCACACAAGGACAAAACCCCACCUACGGAUCCAGCUGCAUGCCUGAGUUUUGAGUACACAGCCAAAGAAAAAAGCAUGCUCAGGUUGUCCAGAAAAAAAAGGAAACCUGAAAAAAAAAAAAAAACCACAAUAGCGAGAAAGGGGGUCUAAGUUUCCUCGGAGGUCCUCAACUGUCUGUAGAAGUGCCCCACCCAGAACCCAAAAUAAAAUGAAGUAACCCCGCCCCUGGUCAGGGUCCUGUCUUUUUUAUUAUCCAGACACACGUAUCAGAGCCUGCUAACAUCCAGUUGUGGGAAGAGCAGCAAGCAGUACACCAGGAGCCACAGGAAGAGAAUAAAAUACAUCAUAUCCGGCUGCUGGACAAGCUGUGUCAGGGAGUCACUCUGCGGGCUGUGGCUCCCCAGUGACAUGGCUUCUCCUGAGCUGUUGGCCUUCCUACAGAAGAAACACAGAGGAAACGCAGUUACCAAGCAGGUUCCCAGGAAAGUGGACCCCACCCAGUGCUACCCGUCUCUCCCCGGCCCCCACUCCCCGCCUGAAGACCCGAAGGCUCCCCAGCACCAUGUCCAGGUAGGCCCCACACUGUGUGUACUGGCCCAAGGCAGUGCGUCGGGCCAUCCAGGCAGCCCCUCGAGCUUUUGCACGUACUCCGUUCAUCUCCAUAACAUCAGGUGAGAGGAGGUGGCAGCCCCAUUCUGCAGAUGGACACACUGAGGCUUUCGGGGUGGAGUGACUUGCCCAAGGCCAUGCAAUUAACUUGGCGACAGAGAGGGCGCCUAGGCCAGGUCUCCUGGGACACCUUUCUUGAUGCCACAGUGCUCUCAGAGAGUGACACGGAGUUAGAUACUGAUCGCUUGCUGCUGUUUGUUAGUAACGCAGGGGACCCCAUAGGUCAUCUAAGGGAUGAAGUGUCCCUAAUAGCAGAUCAUUUUAAAUCAUCUAUCAGAAAGAAACAAAGACCUCUCCCAUUCCCCACAGUUUUGUUUUGGCUUUGGAAUAUUACCUUUAAAAUAAUUACUAGAUUUGAUUUCAGUCAGAUUUACCUUCCUGCUUUUAUUUUAUAGGUGGUAGUGUUAAAAUGUCAUUUCAGUUUUGCCUGGCGGAUCAUAGGGAAGCCCAGAAGGUUUUGCCUGGGGCUGGGGCCUCUGCUUGGAGCUGCAUGUAGAGAAGCCUGCAGUGUAAG
Molecule: long non-coding RNA, 2572 nt
Filed under: Homo sapiens (human)
Lineage: Eukaryota; Metazoa; Chordata; Mammalia; Primates; Hominidae
Description: HSALNT0378811
Source: RNAcentral